CCAGACUCCUACGGGAGGCAGCAGUGGGGGAUAUUGCACAAUGGGGGAAACCCUGAUGCAGCGACGCCGCGUGGGUGAAGAAGCGCCUCGGCGCGUAAAGCCCUGUCAGCAGGGAAGAAAAUGACGGUACCUGAAGAAGAAGCCCCGGCUAACUACGUGCCAGCAGCCGCGGUAAUACGUAGGGGGCAAGCGUUAUCCGGAUUUACUGGGUGUAAAGGGAGCGUAGGUGGCAUGGCAAGCCAGAAGUGAAAACCCGGGGCUUAACCCCGCGGAUUGCUUUUGGAACUGUCAGGCUGGAGUGCAGGAGGGGCAGGCGGAAUUCCUGGUGUAGCGGUGAAAUGCGUAGAUAUCAGGAGGAACACCGGCGGCGAAGGCGGCCUGCUGGACCGCGACUGACGUUGAGGCUCGAAAGCGUGGGGAGCGAACAGGAUUAGAUACCCUUGUA
Molecule: ribosomal RNA, 445 nt
Filed under: uncultured bacterium
Lineage: Bacteria
Description: bacterial SSU rRNA
Rfam family: Bacterial small subunit ribosomal RNA
Source: RNAcentral